Molecule: ribosomal RNA, 875 nt
Filed under: uncultured marine group I thaumarchaeote
Lineage: Archaea; Thermoproteati; Nitrososphaerota
Description: bacterial SSU rRNA
Rfam family: Archaeal small subunit ribosomal RNA
Source: RNAcentral
CCUGACUGCUAUCGGAUUGAUACUAAGCCAUGCGAGUCAUUGUAGCAAUACAAGGCAUACGGCUCAGUAACGCGUAGUCAACCUAACCUAUGGACGGGAAUAGCCUCGGGAAACUGAGAAUAAUGCCCGAUAGAACACUAUACCUGGAAUGGUUUGUGUUCCAAAUGAUUUAUCGCCAUAGGAUGGGACUGCGGCCUAUCAGUUUGUUGGUGAGGUAAUGGCCCACCAAGACUAUUACAGGUACGGGCUCUGAGAGGAGUAGCCCGGAGAUGGGUACUGAGACACGGACCCAGGCCCUAUGGGGCGCAGCAGGCGAGAAAACUUUGCAAUGUGCGAAAGCACGACAAGGUUAAUCCGAGUGAUUUGUGCUAAACGAAUCUUUUGUUAGUCCUAGAAACACUAACGAAUAAGGGGUGGGCAAGUUCUGGUGUCAGCCGCCGCGGUAAAACCAGCACCUCAAGUGGUCAGGAUGAUUAUUGGGCCUAAAGCAUCCGUAGCCGGCUCUGUAAGUUUUCGGUUAAAUCUGUACGCUUAACGUACAGGCUGCCGGGAAUACUGCAGAGCUAGGGAGUGGGAGAGGUAGACGGUACUCGGUAGGAAGUGGUAAAAUGCUUUGAUCUAUCGAUGACCACCUGUGGCGAAGGCGGUCUACCAGAACACGUCCGACGGUGAGGGAUGAAAGCUGGGGGAGCAAACCGGAUUAGAUACCCGGGUAGUCCCAGCUGUAAACUAUGCAAACUCAGUGAUGCAUUGGCUUGUGGCCAAUGCAGUGCUGCAGGGAAGCCGUUAAGUUUGCCGCCUGGGAAGUACGUACGCAAGUAUGAAACUUAAAGGAAUUGGCGGGGGAGCACCACAAGGGGUGAAGCCUGCGGUUC